Molecule: ribosomal RNA, 468 nt
Filed under: uncultured bacterium
Lineage: Bacteria
Description: partial 16S ribosomal RNA
Rfam family: Bacterial small subunit ribosomal RNA
Source: RNAcentral
GACGAACGCUGGCGGCGUGCUUAACACAUGCAAGUCGAACGGAAAGGCCCUGCUUUUGUGGGGUGCUCGAGUGGCGAACGGGUGAGUAACACGUGAGUAACCUGCCCUUGACUUUGGGAUAACUUCAGGAAACUGGGGCUAAUACCGGAUAGGAGCUCCUGCUGCAUGGUGGGGGUUGGAAAGUUUCGGCGGUUGGGGAUGGACUCGCGGCUUAUCAGCUUGUUGGUGGGGUAGUGGCUUACCAAGGCUUUGACGGGUAGCCGGCCUGAGAGGGUGACCGGCCACAUUGGGACUGAGAUACGGCCCAGACUCCUACGAGAGGCAGCAGUGGGGAAUAUUGCACAAUGGGCGGAAGCCUGAUGCAGCAACGCCGCGUGCGGGAUGACGGCCUUCGGGUUGUAAACCGCUUUCGCCUGUGACGAAGCGUGAGUGGCGGUAAUGGGUAAAGAAGCACCGGCUAACUACGUG